This 372-nucleotide ribosomal RNA is filed under the name Salmonella enterica subsp. enterica serovar Mbandaka. RNAcentral describes it as "partial 23S ribosomal RNA". It matches the Rfam family "Bacterial large subunit ribosomal RNA", at positions 911 to 1280 of the family's 2925-position model. Lineage: Bacteria; Pseudomonadati; Pseudomonadota; Gammaproteobacteria; Enterobacterales; Enterobacteriaceae. The record is from RNAcentral.
UGUUUCGGCUAGGGGGCCAUCCCGGCUUACCAACCCGAUGCAAACUGCGAAUACCGGAGAAUGUUAUCACGGGAGACACACGGCGGGUGCUAACGUCCGUCGUGAAGAGGGAAACAACCCAGACCGCCAGCUAAGGUCCCAAAGUCAUGGUUAAGUGGGAAACGAUGUGGGAAGGCCCAGACAGCCAGGAUGUUGGCUUAGAAGCAGCCAUCAUUUAAAGAAAGCGUAAUAGCUCACUGGUCGAGUCGGCCUGCGCGGAAGAUGUAACGGGGCUAAACCAUGCACCGAAGCUGCGGCAGCGACACUGUGUGUUGUUGGGUAGGGGAGCGUUCUGUAAGCCUGUGAAGGUGGCCUGUGAGGGUUGCUGGAGGU